This 445-nucleotide ribosomal RNA is filed under the name uncultured bacterium. RNAcentral describes it as "bacterial SSU rRNA". It matches the Rfam family "Bacterial small subunit ribosomal RNA", at positions 28 to 524 of the family's 1533-position model. The record is from RNAcentral.
GACGAACGCUGGCGGCAGGCCUAACACAUGCAAGUCGAGCGCCCAGCAAUGGGAGCGGCAGACGGGAUAGUAACACGUGGGAACGUACCUUUCAGUUCGGAACAACCCAGGGAAACUUGGGCUAAUACCGAAUACGUCCGUAAGGAGAAAGAUUUAUCGCUGGAAGAUCGGCCCGCGUCUGAUUAGCUAGUUGGUGAGGUAAUGGCUCACCAAGGCGACGAUCAGUAGCUGGUCGAGAGGAUGAUCAGCAUCACUGGGACUGAGACACGGCCCAGACUCCUACGGGAGGCAGCAGUGGGGAAUAUUGGACAAUGGCGCAAGCCUGAUCCAGCCAUGCCGCGUGGAUGAUGAAGGCCUUAGGGUUGUAAAGUCCUUUCGGCGGGGAAGAUAAUGACGGUACCCGCAGAAGAAGCCCCGCUAACUUCGUGCCAGCCGCCGCAGUAAC